AGAGUUUGAUCAUGGCUCAGAUUGAACGCUGGCGGCAGGCCUAACACAUGCAAGUCGAACGGUAACAUUUCUAGCUUGCUAGAAGAUGACGAGUGGCGGACGGGUGAGUAAUGCUUGGGAACUUGCCUUUGCGAGGGGGAUAACAGUUGGAAACGACUGCUAAUACCGCAUAACGUCUUCGGACCAAACGGGGCUUCGGCUCCGGCGCAAAGAGAGGCCCAAGUGAGAUUAGCUAGUUGGUAAGGUAACGGCUUACCAAGGCGACGAUCUCUAGCUGUUCUGAGAGGAAGAUCAGCCACACUGGGACUGAGACACGGCCCAGACUCCUAUGGGAGGCAGCAGUGGGGAAUAUUGCACAAUGGGGGAAACCCUGAUGCAGCCAUGCCGCGUGUGUGAAGAAGGCCUUCGGGUUGUAAAGCACUUUCAGUUGCGAGGAAAAGUUAGUAGUUAAUACCUGCUAGCCGUGACGUUAACAACAGAAGAAGCACCGGCUAACUCCGUGCCAGCAGCCGCGGUAAUACGGAGGGUGCGAGCGUUAAUCGGAAUUACUGGGCGUAAAGCGCACGCAGGCGGUUUGUUAAGCUAGAUGUGAAAGCCCCGGGCUCAACCUGGGAUGGUCAUUUAGAACUGGCAGACUAGAGUCUUGGAGAGGGGAGUGGAAUUCCAGGUGUAGCGGUGAAAUGCGUAGAUAUCUGGAGGAACAUCAGUGGCGAAGGCGACUCCCUGGCCAAAGACUGGCGCUCAUGUGCGAAAGUGUGGGUAGCGA
Molecule: ribosomal RNA, 766 nt
Filed under: uncultured marine microorganism
Description: bacterial SSU rRNA
Rfam family: Bacterial small subunit ribosomal RNA
Source: RNAcentral